This 655-nucleotide ribosomal RNA is filed under the name uncultured bacterium. RNAcentral's name for it is "bacterial SSU rRNA". It matches the Rfam family "Bacterial small subunit ribosomal RNA", at positions 8 to 657 of the family's 1533-position model. The record is from RNAcentral.
AGAGUUUGAUCAUGGCUCAGAUUGAACGCUGGCGGAAUGCUUUACACAUGCAAGUCGAACGGCAGCACGGGAGCUUGCUCCUGGUGGCGAGUGGCGAACGGGUGAGUAACAUAUCGGAACGUAUCCAAUAAUGGGGGAUAACUAGUCGAAAGACUUGCUAAUACCGCAUACGCCCCACGGGGGAAAGCAGGGGAUCGCAAGACCUUGCGUUAAUGGAGCGGCCGAUAUCUGAUUAGCUAGUUGGUGGGGUAAAGGCCCACCAAGGCUUUGAUCAGUAGCUGGUCUGAGAGGACGACCAGCCACACUGGAACUGAGACACGGUCCAGACUCCUACGGGAGGCAGCAGUGGGGAAUUUUGGACAAUGGGGGCAACCCUGAUCCAGCCAUUCCGCGUGAGUGAAGAAGGCCUUCGGGUUGUAAAGCUCUUUCGCAAGGGAAGAAAACUUACUUAAUAACACUAGGUGAGGCUGACGGUACCUUGAUAAGAAGCACCGGCUAACUACGUGCCAGCAGCCGCGGUAAUACGUAGGGUGCGAGCGUUAAUCGGAAUUACUGGGCGUAAAGCGUGCGCAGGCGGUUUGAUAAGUCAGAUGUGAAAGCCCCGGGCUCACCUGGGAACUGCGUUUGAAACUAUCAGACUGGAGUAUGGCAGAGG